Molecule: non-coding RNA, 388 nt
Organism: Schizosaccharomyces pombe (fission yeast)
Lineage: Eukaryota; Fungi; Ascomycota; Schizosaccharomycetes; Schizosaccharomycetales; Schizosaccharomycetaceae
Source: the annotation of a GenBank genome assembly
GCGAUCAAGUAUUUAUUUCCAACAACGAGCAGUGAAAAACUAUUCAUUCCAUACCCCCAAUCAGACAAAACACUGGCACAGUUACAUAAAAGAAAUAUUAAAAUAGGAAUCAUAUUUCUUAAAAAAGUGUAAUAAAGCCUUCCAAAGUAAAAUCACCGUAUUAGGAAAUCGGAAGUCAUGAGCACGGCCAUUAGGUCAAUGUCAUAUAAAACUUACACAGGUACAAGAUGAACAAAACAAAAACAAGAUCCUUGAAAACCAACCAAAACUAUAAGGGAAGCAGUAUAAUGUCACGCUUUUAUUAGUUAAGUAGUCAAGGAAACAUCCACAAAAGAACACGAACAGUAAUCUCAGAGAAUUCCAGCUUAGUGGAGAAUACUAUAAAGAA